This is a transfer RNA of Microdochium bolleyi, 84 nucleotides long. It matches the Rfam family "tRNA". From Rfam's summary of the family: Transfer RNA (tRNA) molecules are approximately 80 nucleotides in length. NCBI's taxonomy places the organism in Eukaryota, Fungi, Ascomycota, Sordariomycetes, Xylariales, Microdochiaceae. The record is from Rfam.
GCCCGGUUAGCUCAAUCGGUAGAGCGUGAGACUCUUAAGAACUCUUCAAUCUCAAGGUUGCGGGUUCGACCCCCGCAUCGGGCU